This 113-nucleotide ribosomal RNA is filed under the name Dipodomys ordii (Ord's kangaroo rat). Lineage: Eukaryota; Metazoa; Chordata; Mammalia; Rodentia; Heteromyidae. The record is from RNAcentral.
GCCCAGGACCAUACUACCCUGAAUGCGUCUGGCCUCAUGCUCUUGGAAGCUAAGCAGUGUUGGGCCUAGUCUACUCUUUCUCUGUAGUCUCACUAUGCUCAGGGAUCAGGACC